AGAGUUUGAUCCUGGCUCAGGAUGAACGCUAGCGGCAGGCUUAACACAUGCAAGUCGAGGGGCAGCACGUCUUCGGAUGGUGGCGACCGGCGCACGCACGGGUGCGUAACGCGUAUGUAAUCUACCAUUAACCGGGGAAUAGCCCAGAGAAAUCUGGAUUAAUGCCCCAUAGUAUUGUCGAAAGGCAUCUUUUGAUAAUUAAAGCUCGGGCGGUUUUAGAUGGGCAUGCGCGUCGUUAGUUUGUUGGUGAGGUAACGGCUCACCAAGACUACGAUGACUAGGGGGUCUGAGAGGAUGAUCCCCCACACUGGUACUGAGACACGGACCAGACUCCUACGGGAGGCAGCAGUGAGGAAUAUUGGUCAAUGGGCGAAAGCCUGAACCAGCCAUGCCGCGUGCAGGAAGACUGCCCUAUGGGUUGUAAACUGCUUUUAUACAGGAAGAAACACUCGGACGUGUCCGAGCUUGACGGUACUGUAUGAAUAAGCACCGGCUAACUCCGUGCCAGCAGCCGCGGUAAUACGGAGGAUCCGAGCGUUAUCCGGAUUUAUUGGGUUUAAAGGGUGCGUAGGCGGAUUGAUAAGUCAGUGGUGAAAGCCUGCAGCUUAACCUGGGAACUGCCAUUGAAACUGAUUUUCUUGAGUGUAAAUAAGGUAGGCGGAAUGUGUUGUGUAGCGGUGAAAUGCAUAGAUAUAACACAGAACACCAAUUGCGAAGGCAGCUUACUAAACUGAUACUGACGCUGAGGCACGAAAGCGUGGGGAUCGAACAGGAUUAGAUACCCUGGUAGUCCACGCCGUAAACGAUGAUCACUCGCUGUUUGCGAUAUACAGCAAGCGGCUGAGCGAAAGCAUUAAGUGAUCCACCUGGGGAGUACGAUCGCAAGGUUGAAACUCAAAGGAAUUGACGGGGGCCCGCACAAGCGGAGGAACAUGUGGUUUAAUUCGAUGAUACGCGAGGAACCUUACCUGGGCUUAAAUGUAGGCUGCAUUCGGCUGAAAGGCUGAUUCCCUUCGGGGCUGCUUACAAGGUGCUGCAUGGUUGUCGUCAGCUCGUGCCGUGAGGUGUCGGGUUAAGUCCCAUAACGAGCGCAACCCUUAUCGUUAGUUGCUAACGCGGCAACCCGGAGACCCGAGCGAGACUGCCUGGGUAAACCGGAGGAAGGUGGGGAUGACGUCAAAUCAGCACGGCCCUUAUGUCCAGGGCUACACACGUGUUACAAUGGCCGAUACAAAGGGCAGCUACUCCGCGAGGAGAUGCGAAUCUUUAAAAUCGGUCUCAGUUCGGAUCGGAGUCUGCAACUCGACUCCGUGAAGUCGGAUUCGCUAGUAAUCGCGCAUCAGCCAUGGCGCGGUGAAUACGUUCCCGGGCCUUGUACACACCGCCCGUCAAACCAUGGGAGCUGGGGGUGCCUGAAGUCUGCCACCGCAAGGAGCGGCCUAGGGUAAAACCAGUGACUGGGGUUAAGUCGUAACAAGGUAACC
Molecule: ribosomal RNA, 1484 nt
Filed under: uncultured bacterium
Lineage: Bacteria
Description: bacterial SSU rRNA
Rfam family: Bacterial small subunit ribosomal RNA
Source: RNAcentral